AUUAAUUUGAGAGUUUGAUCCUGGCUCAGGACGAACGCUGGCGGCGUGCCUAAUACAUGCAAGUCGAACGAACUCUGGUAUUGAUUGGUGCUUGCAUCAUGAUUUACAUUUGAGUGAGUGGCGAACUGGUGAGUAACACGUGGGAAACCUGCCCAGAAGCGGGGGAUAACACCUGGAAACAGAUGCUAAUACCGCAUAACAACUUGGACCGCAUGGUCCGAGUUUGAAAGAUGGCUUCGGCUAUCACUUUUGGAUGGUCCCGCGGCGUAUUAGCUAGAUGGUGGGGUAACGGCUCACCAUGGCAAUGAUACGUAGCCGACCUGAGAG
This 327-nucleotide ribosomal RNA is filed under the name Lactiplantibacillus plantarum. RNAcentral describes it as "bacterial SSU rRNA". It matches the Rfam family "Bacterial small subunit ribosomal RNA", at positions 1 to 298 of the family's 1533-position model. Lineage: Bacteria; Bacillati; Bacillota; Bacilli; Lactobacillales; Lactobacillaceae. The record is from RNAcentral.